AGGUUUAAACAGCGUCAGAUUGUGUGUCGACCAUAUUUCAUAGCUUUUUAUUUCUUCUUUAAAGCAGGAUAACAUUCCGCCAGCUACUUUUACCCGACAGUUACAUUUACAAUAAAAGUGAUAGAAUGGUUGAAUGAUUGACUUUUGUUGUAAAUAGUCUGGAUGUAAGAACAGAGAGUGUCACACUCUUGUACAGGACUGCUGCAUUAUGUUAUUAUUAUGCUACCUUUUCUAAUUGUUACAGACAAUGUCAACAGCUGUGGCCAUCAUCUAGAGCUGUAAUCACACAAAGAGAUACACGAUCAUCUUAAAAACAUCUCUAUUUAGGUUAUUAAGUGAACAACCGUGCGAUGUGUCUUUGUUUUAUGUGUGAACGUGGGUUGGUGGGGGCUUGCAUGCAGUACAUGAUCCAAAGGAUGAUGCUGUCCUGUGGAGGCUUUUCUAUUACUCAACCCAAAAAUCUGGUAAAAAUCAAUGAUCCGGAUGUGUGUCUUUUUAUGUGUAACUGUGAUUUGAAGAAACAAAUGGGAAACACAUGUCCUAUUUUUAGCCAAGCUUUUUGUUUGUCAGUUCUGGCGCCUAUUCUGUCGCAGCGAGGCCUGUGUUCGCCCCGCGUUCGCCCAGCGUUGGCCCAACGUUGGCCCCGCGUUCGACCCGCGUUGGCCCCGCGUUGGCCCCGCGGCCGGAAGCGGGUUGUUGCGGCAGUAGAGGUUUCAGAUGGUUUGUUUGUAACUAGAAUCCAUCCCUCCGUCUCCUUCUCUUCAACACCCCCCUCCUCUUCUCCUCUUCCUCCCUUUCUGGAGCUGUCUUUUUUUGUUCUUGGAGAGAGAGGGGGAUGGGGGGGGGGGGGGGGGGCGGCGGCUCGGCGCCUACGUGUUGAGAGGGGCGGCGUGACGGAUGAGAGAACCUGUUUGGUGGAGAAUGGAGAAUGGAUUUGCGGGUGCAGCUCGUACCCCCCCACCCUCUAUACACCGCCCACAUCCACAGACAGCCGUGUCCGACGGGGCCUGACAACAACACUGGAGGUGUGGAAUCGGAUUCUCCGUGCCUUCACGCUGCCUGCGCACGAGGUGGAGGCCUGGCGUGUGUGUCCAAGUGUGUGCGUCCAGAAAGCUUGCGUGUCCGCCGACAAACGUUAUUUGCAGGAACUCGGGGGAGAACUCUGCUGUAUAGGUGUGACUGAGCUCACUGUAUACAAUCAAAUCAGACCUACGGUUCUAUUUGGCGGGCUGACAUACAAUAUGGUUAUGGGAAACUCCCCCCUUCCUGUGUGCAUGAGGGAAGGCUAAUAUGUCACGCUGAGGGGGGGGUGGAAGUGGGGCAAAGAGUCGCUAUUAGACCAAUAGGAAGGUGUAGGAGCACUACCCCUCUGAGUCGCGGCUAUGCAAUGUGUGUGAGCGUGUGCGUCCGUCAUCUCCACGGCUUCCUUCACAUUCCUGAGGAUCAGUGUUAGGAAGCUCAGUGUCCUGCCAAGGUGUGGCCGAUUUAACGCGUCCGCCACUCACGGUCGUGGCACUUCUGCAAAGUAGUUUGGCUUCCUCUGCUUUUCCCCCUCGCACCUGUGGCCAGUAGACGUUCAAGCUUCAAAUGCUUGCAAAUUAGGCACAGUAUAUAUAUAUAUAUAUAUAAGUGGAGUAAUAAUAAAAAAAGUACCUGUCUCGAUGUGUCUGCCACGAGGGGAAACCCAGGUGUGAGAGAAUGAAUAAACCCAACCCCAGUUAUUAACGCAAGUACUUUAGCACCUAAGUACAUUCAAUACAUAUUUUUUACAAUUUUUGAAAAUGUACUUAAUGGCAUUUUCCUUAUUGCAUCACUACAGAAAGAUUAAGCAGCACUGUGUAAGACAAACGGUACUAGCGUUCAUCACUCGUUGAUUUCGUUCAUGGGACAUUUUGGCCACAUUCAGGAUUCCUCAAUAAGGACACAGAAUAUAAUACACGGGCAGCGAGGCCUCGCGUAGGAAGAGCUGAAUUUCUCACUGGAUUAUUUUUGGAACAAAAGAAUAUCUGUUUUUGUUGCUUUUCAUUGGCUCUAAGGGGAUUAAAAGAAAUGAUCCGCCUGUGCAAGAAAACACAUGGACGUCUUUAAAGAAUUGCAAACACUGCAGUCCGCAGGACGCCUGCAGUUUAUUUCUGUCCAUAAAACAAUUGUGCAGAAUUCCUGACAGACCCAGUAAACAAACGUAACCCCUGACCAGUGGCCCAGUGCCCUUCUGAAACAACUCCAUUGACAUUGAUGUAGACCGUCACUGGAACAUCUCACUCCCCAGUGAAGGAGAAAGGAAGUUGACCUCCAACCUCUCACCUUUGUCUUCGGGGGGGUCAGCUUGGGUUCCCUCUGGGGUUCUGCCCUUUAAGCCUGACCGUUAUGAAAAUGCAGAGCCCUACAAGCGGGACAUUAAAACAUCAAGACGGUUCAACGUCCUCAUCUGUUCCUGCUUAUAGACACAUAAUAACGCAUGUAGGUCAAUGGAAAAUUCUGCAACUUUAAACGACACAACUUGUAGAAAGGUGAACAGGUUUAUAGUCAUUCGAGAUGAUCUGUAGGAGAAGAGAUGUGUGCAUGUAGUAGAUACAAAUAAAACCAGUUUAAAAAAGAAAGGGAUGCCACAUUUUAAGUGCAAAUGCCAGCACAUGUCGGCCGAGGAGCCGCCUUUAAUGCAACACCUGUCGAAAAGAACCUGGAACCUUCAGAGGUCAUCUUGAUACCAACUGGUCAACCUGUGACGAGUUGUGGUGACGGGAGAAUCGUAGGUUUACGUUAAGCUCGUGUUCAGCUAUCUAUUUAAACCAGAGUUGGCAUUGAUACGUGUAUCACAUUUUUUAUGUCUCCCCGUGACUGUUUUCUUUUCCAACACAUAUACACCCCCCCCCCCCUUCUAAGAAAAGACUUCUUCUAAGAAAAAUCAAUGGCGAACGCACAGCAAGACGUCACAAACAACGCAUUAAGGGCUUCAUUCUCCUCAUGGAAGUAGAAGCAAAUUGCAUAAUUCAAUAGGAAAUCAUGCAUUAAGCUGGGGAAGAUUCCAGUUUGAAUCAAUAGAAGGUAUUGAUGUUACAGCAAUGGCUGGCCCGGACUGUCGUAAACCGGUUUGCAAUGGAGGGGAAGGAACGGGGGGUUGGAACUAACCGGAGGAGUCAGCCACUGUAGAGACUCUUUGUCUGGGAUGCACUACAGAGAUGCAAAGUCUGCCCUGGUUCUGGGAUCUGGAUGUCGGCCAGGACUUGAGGGGGAGCCAAGAGUGCAGAAGUGGCCAAUCGGUCCCGUAGUGACACAAAGAGGCCUUUCUCUGGACCACAGGUCUGCUGCGGCUUAGGACUCGCGCUGGGGACUUCAGACUACAAAAGCGAGGUUAACACACACACAGACCCCCACGCACCCGGAAAGACAGAAGGAAAAGCGGGAUAAUAUCGCUGUUGCGUCGCUCAAAAGUUCCCUUAUUCAGUUAUUCACUUUUCCUGAUUUCAUUACAUGUUACAUGUCCUUUUUUUUCCAACGUAUAAGACAACGGGACCACGUUGAUCUAAUGCAUAUAACCAUGUCUGCUAAACACACGUACCGUGCAUGUGUGCAAGCACCCUGUCUCUCUUUUCUGUGUUAUGUAACUCAUAUACAUCUGGGUCAAAAAACUUACAAUUAUUUGUAGGGGAAACAAUAUUUCCUGUGCCUCCCCCAACCCUGGUGGCUCUGCAGAUUGUAAAUGGAGUGAGGUCUGGCCCGUGUUAGGCCGACUCAGCCCCCUCUGGCCAGUUAAUGAAGCUUAAUUUAAGUGAUUAAAGUAUAUUAGGAACUGGAGGUAAAAGGAGAGCAGCCCCUGUAAAGAUGACCUUUCACCUUUGAGCUUUGGCCCCCUUUCCCCUUAGAUCAGAGCUUUCUGGGAAGAGGUACUAAAAGAGGCUGUGAGUGUGUGUGUGUGUGUGUGUGUGUGUGUGUGUGUGUGUGUCCUGGGCCUCCCUGCUGAAAAAAAAUAGUGCCCGCGCUUGAUCUGACUGUUGCACCGGAGUUUAUUUGUAAACUAGCCAAUACAUAUUUUUGAAUCAGUGCCAUCGCACCGAAAGCGAUACGCGCAAAAAACGUUUAUUUUUAGAAACAAUGUGUAUUUUUUCCACCACGAAUAAAAUAAUUAACUAAUCACGUUGUGCAAAGCAGACAUUAUUGAAAACAUAGUGAACAACAACACGACUCUAGUGAAUUUCAUUUAUAUAACGAAUGAAAUGACAAACAAAAGAGUUUUGAUGCAAAAGCAGAAUCAUUUCUCAUGCUGUUGAUUCAUCAGUCAGCGGGGUUACAUGGAUUUGAAUAACUGGCUUAGUCGGACUGAAAUCGAAUUAUCCGUUUCAUGUAAACACCUUUGUCCGACUAUGUGCGGUCCGACUACGAUCCGACUAACACCCCUGGAUAACUCCAUCCGAUCCAGUUGAUAGUUCGACUAUUGCGGCAUGUGACGGUGAAUCGGAUGAGGAACUGGACUUUGCGUCUUUGCGCGUGCUUGAGAUCCCGACGGCGUCUUCUCUCCGUUAUCAAAUCAGCCGAUAGCGCCAUUCGCAUUCGCUGUACUCCUAUUAACAUCAUGCACACAUAGUAGAGGGAUGUAGCUUCACCUUGCUCUUCGUUCGCCAUCUUUCUCGUAAUGUUGAUGUUGUUGUUGUUGUUGGUUGUUGUUGUUGUUGGUAGUGGUGAAGCGGUCAAGCGGAAAUGGCUGUGUCACAACUAGUUGUAAUGAAAACAGCGCCACCUAUCGUAUCGGAUAUGACAUGCUUUCGGCCAAUGAUUUGAUUUAUUCACUGCCGUGUAUAUUGGGAUAAUAGCACCUCCCCCCGAAAGACAGCAUAGUCCGACUAAGCAAAGAUUAGAAUUAUACCAUCAUGUAAACACACUGAGUCCCUCAGUGUGUGAAGGCUUUUGCUUUUGGUAAUUUUCUGCAAAACUGAUGAUGAUUCAAAGGAGCAUUAGAAAAUCUAGAACGCAAUCCCCAAACCACAAAUGUAAAACUCAAAAAAGGUGUUUGACCCAUCAGGGUUUUAGCUGCGUACCCACAUUUUAUCAGCCGAGCACUCACCCACACUGCUGACCCCCACACGCCGCGGUUAGCACAAGCUUCCCUCUUAUGUUGACUUUAAAUGAACUUCUCUUAGAUCUUUUGUCAGGAUUGUGACAGCGGUGAUAAACCAACGUGUUUACACAGCGCUGGACUAAUAAAAACAACGCCCAGAUGAUGAAGAGCAGAGCGAUGCAAAAAGUUAUCAGGACACACAUAAACCCAAUAUUUGGGUCACUGGGGGGGAUUUUGUAUUCAUGUGCAAUGGACUUUUUCUAACAAAUGUUGCAGGAAUGCCGCUCUGCAAAUACUGUGUGAGUGUGUGUGUGUGUGUGUGUGUGUGUGUGUGUGUGUGUGUGUGUAGAGAUAUCUGUGAAACGGAGGCGGUCAGACCGGCCUGGAGGUGAACUGUGAUGUGACAGAUGAACCACUCCACCUGGUGUGUGUCUGAGUAUGUGUGUGUUUUAUAGUCUGUGAAAUGAAGAUGGGGGGAAAGGUGAUGCAGGGAUGUGGGGGGAGGGGAGGGUCAUGAGAUAAUCAACCCCCGAUCAACUCCAGCCGUUAAACCCACACACACACACACACGCAGUCUCUCUUGGGUCUGAGAUAACCCGAGUCAAGGGCCCGAAGGGGUUCAAAGGUCAGGGCCCUGGCUCAUAGGGAACACAUGGAAGGGAUAGAGAGGCUCUGGAUUCCAUAAAAGCAUGAGCAGGGGACGGACUUAUUUACGGCUGCAAGGAAAACAUCACAACUCCAUCUCCCUCCCUCGCUGACGCAUAGGGGAGCGUGCGAGAGAGACAGAGAGAGGGAGAGAGGGGGAGGGGGGGGAAGAAAAACUUCUGGUUCUCUCUACUUGCCGUCCAAAUGGCUUCAUCUCAAAAGGCUCUCUGAAGGGGGCUCAAACUUUCCUCUCAGAGAGCAGGGAAUCGAAGAAUCUCACAUCGUCAGCCGCAAACUGAAGAAGGAAUGAAGAGGAAGCCACUGAACGCUGCGCCAAAGCAGCGGAAUAUCGUUACAAGCCCUGGUUUUUAAUUGAGACCACACUAAUGACGCGUGUUUUUUCUGCUCGCUGAAAGGCACAUGGCGCGGCCGGUGUGUGUUUGGUAAACGUUAAGUCACUCAUAGACUCACUCACAGACACGCAGCAUAUUAACUUCAAACACUCGCCUCUCGCCCACAUUCUCUGCUUGUUCCACAUCUGUCUCUGUGCAUGUUCCAUAUUUUAAGUGGGAUCUGUUUUAUGGCUGUUGCUCUGAGCUUCAAGUUGUCAAAGAUUUCUUUGCAGUCAAGUACCUUGAUGCAAAGCAUAAAAACGAUUAUCCGUAUAGUUCUCAGUAUAACAAUGUAUAGCAGACAGUUAUCCAUUUAACAAUACCAAUAUGGAUCACUGCACUGCAUUGGUUAUUGUUUCCUUACAUUUGUUUGAUGAAGGGAUGGAAGACUGUAAAUUGAGUUGAAUGAGUGUAAUACAUUUAGUUUGUACACCCUGUAACGUUUGGGAGAAUAUUGCAUCACAUGCUUGCGUGAUCACGUCAUUCCAUCGGCGCAUUCGUCCCACAAAACAGCUACGUGUGCUGGUAAAAGCUGCGGAACAUAAAACAAAUAUUUAAGAGCCACUAAAACGCUCUUCAGACUGUAGUAACUCUUGGUUUUUGUGGUCGAAAAUGGAAACAAACGCAGGCGAGCUGAAGACAGAAAGAUAUAAACCAGGAGGAGAAUGACUUCGCAGUGGCCAUCUGUCCUGUUUUGGCCGCUUCACCGUAGCUCACCCGAGGGUGGCAAGCAGACACACACACACACACAUCACGGUCAUUACUAUGCUGUCAGUCCGUCCCCUUUGUCUCGCGCCGUGCGUGUCUCUGUGUGUGUGUGUGUGUAAAUGUCCGUGGGUGUCGUCGGGUCGUUGGGCUCGUCACCCGAGAGUUCUCAGACAAUGGCGGUGAGAUAAUGAAGACAGGAGCCAGUAACGGAGGCUGAUGGAGAACAAUGCGGCGGUAAUGUCCCUGGAACGUUGAGAAGAGUUUUACUGGUCCUCACUAGGACGCUUCCUUCCUGUCCUGCUUUAUCAUCACACAGGAAAGAAAAUAAACAAUCCCCAUCCUCCCCCUCCUCCCCUCCCGCCUCCCCCUCCUCUGCUGAAUGAGUGGUUUGUCUUUCUCCUCCUUGCCCUCCUCUCCUUUGUAUCUAAUCUUCUCUUUUCUUUUUGUUUACUCUCGUCCUUGUCCUCCUGUCUUUUUCUCCAGUCUCCUUUAUGUUCCCCUUCUUUGGUCUUCUUGUUUAGAGUCUUUCCACUU
This is a long non-coding RNA of Gasterosteus aculeatus aculeatus (three-spined stickleback), 7332 nucleotides long. The record is from Ensembl. NCBI's taxonomy places the organism in Eukaryota, Metazoa, Chordata, Actinopteri, Perciformes, Gasterosteidae.